CGGAACGUGCCCAGUAGCGGGGGAUAACUACGCGAAAGCGUAGCUAAUACCGCAUACGCCCUACGGGGGAAAGGGGGGGAUCGUAAGACCUCUCACUAUUGGAGCGGCCGAUAUCGGAUUAGCUAGUUGGUGAGGUAAAGGCUCACCAAGGCGACGAUCCGUAGCUGGUUUGAGAGGACGACCAGCCACACUGGGACUGAGACACGGCCCAGACUCCUACGGGAGGCAGCAGUGGGGAAUUUUGGACAAUGGGGGAAACCCUGAUCCAGCCAUUCCGCGUGUGCGAUGAAGGCCUUCGGGUUGUAAAGCACUUUUGGCGGGAAAGAAAUCGGUCGGGCUAAUACCCUGGCCGGAUGACGGUACCCGCAGAAUAAGCACCGGCUAACUACGUGCCAGCAGCCGCGGUAAUACGUAGGGUGCAAGCGUUAAUCGGAAUUACUGGGCGUAAAGCGUGCGCAGGCGGUUCGGAAAGAAAGAUGUGAAAUCCCAGGGCUCAACCUUGGAACUGCAUUUUUAACUACCGGGCUAGAGUGUGUCAGAGGGAGGUGGAAUUCCGCGU
Molecule: ribosomal RNA, 559 nt
Filed under: uncultured bacterium
Lineage: Bacteria
Description: bacterial SSU rRNA
Rfam family: Bacterial small subunit ribosomal RNA
Source: RNAcentral